CAAUAGCGUAUAUUAAAGUUGUUGCAGUUAAAAGCUCGUAGUUGGAUUUCUGCCAGGGUGCCAAUGUCCGCCGAAGUGCGUGCGCAGCGGCGCCCUCGCAUCCUUCUGUUAACGCCUCUCGGCAUUUACUUGCCGGUGGUGGGCUCAGAUAAUUUACCUUGAGAAAAUUAGAGUGUUUCAGGCAGGCUAGGCCGGAAUACAUUUGCAUGGAAUAAUGGAAUAGGACCCUGGUUCUAUUUUGUUGGUUUUGAGAACCAGAGUAAUGAUUAAUAGGGAUAGUUGGGGGCGAUUCAUAUUUCUAUUGUCAGAGGUGAAAUUCUUGGAUUUAUGAAAGAAUGAACUUCUGCGAAAGCAUUUGCCAAGGAUGUUUUCUAUUAAUUCAAGAACGAAAGUUAGGGGAGUCGAAGACGAUCAGAUACCAU
This 422-nucleotide ribosomal RNA is filed under the name uncultured eukaryote. Its description in RNAcentral is "bacterial SSU rRNA". It matches the Rfam family "Eukaryotic small subunit ribosomal RNA", at positions 592 to 1018 of the family's 1831-position model. The record is from RNAcentral.